Vicia villosa (hairy vetch) is the source of this 889-nucleotide RNA transcript. It is a transcript of the gene named putative FBD-associated F-box protein At5g56440, with no coding region annotated. The transcript has 4 exons. The record is from RefSeq and is a predicted model, not a curated record. NCBI's taxonomy places the organism in Eukaryota, Viridiplantae, Streptophyta, Magnoliopsida, Fabales, Fabaceae.
AGUUUAGCUUUUGGAAGAAAAAUGCAGAAUUUGUCCUCGCUCGCAAGGUGUUCGAUGAAAUGUCCCAACCGAAUUCCUUUUGUGGCGAAGUUAGCGGUGAGAGAGGAAUUUGAUUUAGUUGAUGUUAACGGCUCAAUAUACUUAAUCCUGACACUAGGAAUUUGAUUCAUUGGCCAAACGGCCAGGUUCUGAGUGGAGAACUAGACAAUGGGAAUGGAGACGAAAUUGUGUAUAAUUGGAGGGAACAAACAUCUACUCCGGGAUGUCUUUCAACACAGCUUAGAACAUGUUUGAUUAAACAAUUUACAUACACAGAAUGUGGUCUUCAAUUUGCUGAAUAUAUUUUGAGGAAUUCAAAGGUACUGGACACAAUGUCAAUCAAGAGUGCUUCAUUCAUAAAUGAAAAUGUCAAGCACCAAAUGUUAAUGAUAUUAGCUUCGGAGGAAUUCAAAGGGGCUGUUUUGACAAAGCCGACUGAUCUAGGAGCAGUUUGAGAUUGAUACAACGCUGACAGUUUGGCUGCACCCAAGCCUCUUAUCAAACUGCUGGAUCUGAUGGAAAAUUAGUCGAUCGGGAAGCGCGUCUAACUGCAAUCUCUUCAAGCGGAGCAAAGGUACUGAAUUGGAAUGGAUUUAAAUGUCUGAAACUCGCUUGUAUUAGCGCUGAACUGGGGUGCAUCUAAUUUGAAUUGGGAUCGCAUCUCUCGCACUAACCGUAAUAAUAGGUAUGCUUUAAUGUGAACAUAGUUGGAUGAGGCCAUAGGUUCUGUUUGCUAUUUUGAACUAGCCAUACCUCCUGUUUCUUCCUGAUUUUUUUAUAUGGUGCAACAUUGUCUCCUUUUUUUUUUGUCUCAAUUCUGAAAAGAAUUGGUUUGAAUUGUGUUUGAAUG